This 497-nucleotide ribosomal RNA is filed under the name uncultured bacterium. Its description in RNAcentral is "partial 16S ribosomal RNA". It matches the Rfam family "Bacterial small subunit ribosomal RNA", at positions 28 to 507 of the family's 1533-position model. The record is from RNAcentral.
GAUGAACGCUGGCGGCGUGCCUAAUACAUGCAAGUCGAGCGAGCGGACGAGAAGCUUGCUUCUCUGAUGUUAGCGGCGGACGGGUGAGUAACACGUGGAUAACCUACCUAUAAGACUGGGAUAACUUCGGGAAACCGGAGCUAAUACCGGAUAAUAUUUUGAACCGCAUGGUUCAAAAGUGAAAGACGGUCUUGCUGUCACUUAUAGAUGGAUCCGCGCUGCAUUAGCUAGUUGUUAAGGUAACGGCUUACCAAGGCAACGAUGCAUAGCCGACCUGAGAGGGUGAUCGGCCACACUGGAACUGAGACACGGUCCAGACUCCUACGGGAGGCAGCAGUAGGGAAUCUUCCGCAAUGGGCGAAAGCCUGACGGAGCAACGCCGCGUGAGUGAUGAAGGUCUUCGGAUCGUAAAACUCUGUUAUUAGGGAAGAACAUAUGUGUAAGUAACUGUGCACAUCUUGACGGUACCUAAUCAGAAAGCCACGGCUAACUACGUG